UGGGGAAUAUUGCGCAAUGGGCGAAAGCCUGACGCAGCGACGCCGCGUGGGUGAUGAAGGCCUUCGGGUCGUAAAGCCCUGUCGGGAGGGAAGAAACAGUCUGGACCUAAUACGUCCGGGAAUUGACGGUACCUCCUAAGGAAGCACCGGCUAACUCCGUGCCAGCAGCCGCGGUAAUACGGAGGGUGGCAAGCGUUGUUCGGAUUUACUGGGCGUACAGGGAGCGUAGGUGGUUAGGUAAGCCCUCCGUGAAAACUCCAGGCUUAACCUGGACAGUGCAGAGGGUACUGCUUAGCUAGAGGACGGGAGAGGAGCGCGGAAUUCCCGGUGUAGCGGUGAAAUGCGUAGAGAUCGGGAGGAAGGCCGGUGGCGAAGGCGGCGCUCUGGAACGUUUCUGACACUGAGGCUCGAAAGCGUGGGGAGCAAACAGGAUUAGAUACCCACGUAGUCCCUGAGCGGGCUGGCAAGGCGCAU
RNAcentral lists this ribosomal RNA (474 nucleotides) under uncultured bacterium. Its description in RNAcentral is "bacterial SSU rRNA". It matches the Rfam family "Bacterial small subunit ribosomal RNA", at positions 355 to 825 of the family's 1533-position model. The record is from RNAcentral.